AGCUCCAAUAGCGUAUAUUUAAGUUGUUGCAGUUAAAAAGCUCGUAGUCGCAUUUCUGGCGAGAGGAUCCGGUCCGACCUUUUGGUGGGUUCUUGGGUCUCUUCCGCCAUCCUUGAGUGGUCCGUUCUGGCAUUAGGUUGUCGGAGCGUCAGCCGCUCGUCGUUUACUGUGAGAAAAUUAGAGUGUUCAAAGCAGGCUUAUGCCGUUGAAUAUAUUAGCAUGGAAUAAUAAGAUAGGACCUCGGUACUAUUUUGUUGGUUUGCGCACCAAGGUAAUGAUGAACAGGGACAGUUGGGGGUAUUUGUAUUUCGUUGUCAGAGGUGAAAUUCUUAGAUUUACGAAAGACAAACUACUGCGAAAGCAUUUACCAAGGAUGUUUUCA
Molecule: ribosomal RNA, 382 nt
Filed under: uncultured marine Chaetocerotaceae
Lineage: Eukaryota; Bacillariophyta; Thalassiosirophyceae; Chaetocerotales; Chaetocerotaceae
Description: SSU rRNA
Rfam family: Eukaryotic small subunit ribosomal RNA
Source: RNAcentral